Molecule: long non-coding RNA, 470 nt
Filed under: Cricetulus griseus (Chinese hamster)
Lineage: Eukaryota; Metazoa; Chordata; Mammalia; Rodentia; Cricetidae
Description: lncRNA (ENSCGRG00015041148.1)
Source: RNAcentral
AGAUAAUAUUCACAUAUUUAUUUGCAAAGAAAUUUAUCCAUUAUUUUUAUUAAAAUAACAUUUCUGUCUCUACAAUGGGCUGGAGAGAUGACACAAGGAAACUUAAUUUCUUGAAGUAGCAUUUUUUCUUAAUUUCCUAUUAAGGUUUAAGAUGGCUCAGAGGUUAAGAGCACUGACUGCUCUUCCAGAGGUCCUGAGUUCAAUUCCCAGCAACCACAUGAUGGCUCACAACCAUCCAUUAUGAGAUCUGGUGCCCUCUUCUGGUGUGCAGAUAUAUAUGGAAGCAGAAUGUUGUAUACAUAAUAAAAUAUUUAAAAAAAAUAAAAUAAAAUAAAUGGCAAUCUUUUGACAUCCUUUAUCAGGAAUGGACUGUUUUGUCAGUCCUAUAUACUUUAUGCAAUCAAAUUUUUUUUUUUUAUGGUGAAGUGACCAGCCCCCUGCUUUAGCAGUCAUGACAGGCUACAGGAAAG